Molecule: ribosomal RNA, 962 nt
Filed under: Lactiplantibacillus plantarum
Lineage: Bacteria; Bacillati; Bacillota; Bacilli; Lactobacillales; Lactobacillaceae
Description: bacterial SSU rRNA
Rfam family: Bacterial small subunit ribosomal RNA
Source: RNAcentral
AAGCCCGGCUACUACGUCCAGCAGCGCGGUAUUCGUAGGGGCAAGCGUGUCCGGAUUUAUGGGCGUAAAGCGAGCGCAGGCGGUUUUUUAAGUCUGAUGUGAAAGCCUUCGGCUCAACCGAAGAAGUGCAUCGGAAACUGGGAAACUUGAGUGCAGAAGAGGACAGUGGAACUCCAUGUGUAGCGGUGAAAUGCGUAGAUAUAUGGAAGAACACCAGUGGCGAAGGCGGCUGUCUGGUCUGUAACUGACGCUGAGGCUCGAAAGUAUGGGUAGCAAACAGGAUUAGAUACCCUGGUAGUCCAUACCGUAAACGAUGAAUGCUAAGUGUUGGAGGGUUUCCGCCCUUCAGUGCUGCAGCUAACGCAUUAAGCAUUCCGCCUGGGGAGUACGGCCGCAAGGCUGAAACUCAAAGGAAUUGACGGGGGCCCGCACAAGCGGUGGAGCAUGUGGUUUAAUUCGAAGCUACGCGAAGAACCUUACCAGGUCUUGACAUACUAUGCAAAUCUAAGAGAUUAGACGUUCCCUUCGGGGACAUGGAUACAGGUGGUGCAUGGUUGUCGUCAGCUCGUGUCGUGAGAUGUUGGGUUAAGUCCCGCAACGAGCGCAACCCUUAUUAUCAGUUGCCAGCAUUAAGUUGGGCACUCUGGUGAGACUGCCGGUGACAAACCGGAGGAAGGUGGGGAUGACGUCAAAUCAUCAUGCCCCUUAUGACCUGGGCUACACACGUGCUACAAUGGAUGGUACAACGAGUUGCGAACUCGCGAGAGUAAGCUAAUCUCUUAAAGCCAUUCUCAGUUCGGAUUGUAGGCUGCAACUCGCCUACAUGAAGUCGGAAUCGCUAGUAAUCGCGGAUCAGCAUGCCGCGGUGAAUACGUUCCCGGGCCUUGUACACACCGCCCGUCACACCAUGAGAGUUUGUAACACCCAAAGUCGGUGGGGUAACCUUUAGAACAGCCGCCAAG